AUACGUAGGUGACAAGCGUUAUCCGGAUUUACUGGGCGUAAAGGGCGUGUAGGCGGUCUUGCAAGUCAGAAGUGAAAUUCCUGAGCUCAACUCGGGCGCUGCUUCUGAAACUGCAGGACUUGAGUGCUGGAGGGGAUAGCGGAAUUCCUAGUGGAGCGGUAAAAUGCGCAGAUAUUAGGAAGAACACCGGUGGCGAAGGCGGCUAUCUGGACAGUAACUGACGCUGAGGCGCGAAAGCGUGGGGAGCAAACAGGAUUAGAUCCCCUGGUAGUCCACGCCGUAAACGAUGAAUACUAGGUGUAGGGGGUAUCGACUCCCUCUGUGCCGCAGUUAACACAAUAAGUAUUCCGCCUGGGGAGUACGGCCGCAAGGUUGAAACUUAAAGGAAUUGACGGGG
RNAcentral lists this ribosomal RNA (397 nucleotides) under uncultured bacterium. Its description in RNAcentral is "partial 16S ribosomal RNA". It matches the Rfam family "Bacterial small subunit ribosomal RNA", at positions 523 to 918 of the family's 1533-position model. The record is from RNAcentral.